ACCAGAGACCAGAGACCAGACCAGACCAGACCAGACCAGAUCCUCCUUCCCCAGCUGCAGAACCACCCCAACGCCCACAACCACAUGCUGCAGGACCCGGGACGUGACUCCUGGCUGUCAAUUCUUAUUUUUACGUGGUGGUGGUGGGGAAAUGUGAGGAUUUCCAAGUGUGGACUGAAGGCACUAAAUACCGAACUGGAGACUGCUGUUGGUCAGUAAACCACUGAAGUCUGAGGAUGCUUCAGUAGUCAAGCAAUUAUAGAUUGGAAUAUAAUCCCCUUGGCAGUGCUGAGAGAAUCAGUUUGUUCCUCUUGAACAAUGUGUAG
Mus musculus (house mouse) is the source of this 326-nucleotide long non-coding RNA. RefSeq annotates it as predicted gene, 33886. The transcript is spliced from 3 exons. The record is from RefSeq and is a predicted model, not a curated record. Lineage: Eukaryota; Metazoa; Chordata; Mammalia; Rodentia; Muridae.